UACAGAGGGUGCAAGCGUUAAUCGGAAUUACUGGGCGUAAAGCGCAUGUAGGUGGUUAUACAAGUCUGAUGUGAAAGCCCUGGGCUUAACCUGGGAACUGCGUUGGAAACUGUAUAGCUAGAGUCGGAUAGAGGAUAGUGGAAUUUCCGGUGUAGCGGUGAAAUGCGUAGAGAUCGGAAAGAACAUCAGUGGCGAAGGCGGCUAUCUGGAUCCAGACUGACACUGAGGUGCGAAAGCGUGGGGAGCAAACAGG
RNAcentral lists this ribosomal RNA (253 nucleotides) under uncultured bacterium. RNAcentral describes it as "partial 16S ribosomal RNA". It matches the Rfam family "Bacterial small subunit ribosomal RNA", at positions 524 to 776 of the family's 1533-position model. The record is from RNAcentral.